UACGGAGGGGGCUAGCGUUGUUCGGAAUUACUGGGCGUAAAGCGCACGUAGGCGGCUUUGUAAGUUAGAGGUGAAAGCCCAGGGCUUAACCCUGGAAUUGCCUUUAAGACUGCAUCGCUAGAAUCGUGGAGAGGUGAGUGGAAUUCCGAGUGUAGAGGUGAAAUUCGUAGAUAUUCGGAAGAACACCAGUGGCGAAGGCGACUCACUGGACACGUAUUGACGCUGAGGCACGAAAGCGUGGGGAUCAAACAGG
RNAcentral lists this ribosomal RNA (253 nucleotides) under uncultured bacterium. RNAcentral's name for it is "partial 16S ribosomal RNA". It matches the Rfam family "Bacterial small subunit ribosomal RNA", at positions 524 to 776 of the family's 1533-position model. The record is from RNAcentral.